RNAcentral lists this ribosomal RNA (777 nucleotides) under uncultured Neocallimastigales. RNAcentral describes it as "partial large subunit ribosomal RNA". It matches the Rfam family "Eukaryotic large subunit ribosomal RNA", at positions 23 to 616 of the family's 3401-position model. Lineage: Eukaryota; Fungi; Neocallimastigomycota; Neocallimastigomycetes; Neocallimastigales. The record is from RNAcentral.
AGAGAGAGACAUGCGUGCAUAUCAAUAAGCGGAGGAAAAGAAACUAACAAGGAUUCCCCUAGUAACGGCGAGUGAAGCGGGAAGAGCUCAAAUUUGAAAUCUUAAAGGGUUUCCCUUUACGAAUUGUAGUUUAAAGAAGUGUUUUCUGUUGAGGUUUUGGUAAAAGUUCUUUGGAAUAGGACAUCAUAGAGGGUGAGAAUCCCGUAUUUGACCAUUUACUUUCAGCUUUGUGAUACACUUUCAAAGAGUCGGAUUGUUUGGGAAUGCAGUCCAAAAUGGGUGGUAAAUUUCAUCUAGAGCUAAAUAUUGGCGAGAGACCGAUAGCGAACAAGUACCGUGAGGGAAAGAUGAAAAGAACUUUGAAAAGAGAGUUAAACAGUACGUGAAAUUGUCAAAAGGGAAGCGUUUGACACCAGUGUUGUUUUUCUGAAAAUCAAUUAAAGAACUGUUUAUGCUAAGCUGUUUAGACUUUAUCAGGCUAACUGUUUAGUUUUGAGCUUUUCUUUAAUGCAGCUUUUCAGUUAACAAGUCAACAUCAAUUUCUUUUGCUGUAAAAAAGCUUGAGGAAGGUGGCUUGAGAUUCGUCUUAAGUGUUUAUAGCCUCUUGCCUAUGCAGUCGGAGAGAUUGAGGUCUGCAGCGUAGAUCCUUCGGGGCUAAAUGCAUUUGUGCUAAGUUAUAGCAUUUUAUAGACAACUUGUUGACUAUGAUUUGUCUUGUAGCUUACUCGCUUAUGUUAUUUUACCUACGCUUAGGAUGUUGAGCGCAUGUCUCUCUCU